Mus musculus (house mouse) is the source of this 269-nucleotide long non-coding RNA. RefSeq annotates it as predicted gene, 36831. Lineage: Eukaryota; Metazoa; Chordata; Mammalia; Rodentia; Muridae. The transcript is spliced from 3 exons. The record is from RefSeq and is a predicted model, not a curated record.
AUUCUGUCACAUGGUUUCCACUGGGCUCCUAACUGUCAUUUAACUGUCUGCAAAGAAUGAAACAGUUUAUUGAGGAUGGUGCACGUCUUUGAUUGUAGCACUGGGCACUGGAAAAGCAGAGGCAGGCUAAUCUCUUGUCCUCAUCCUGCUUCUGCCAACUGUGCAUUGACAUCCUAGCCAUCGAAGUGACGAAGUGAGGAGAGGAAUGCUUCCAUCAAUGUUAUAAAUCUACCAAGAGAGCAAACAGGACCCUAGCAUGGCUGCCUUCC